CACUGAAGGAGGAGUUCGCGUCCCAUUAGCUGGUUGGUGGGGUAAUGGCCUACCAAGGCGACGAUGGGUAGCUGGUCUGAGAGGAUGGCCAGCCACACUGGAACUGAGACACGGUCCAGACUCCUACGGGAGGCAGCAGUGAGGAAUCUUGCGCAAUGGGGGAAACCCUGACGCAGCAACGCCGCGUGAGUGAGGAAGGUCUUCGGAUCGUAAAGCUCUGUCGGGUGGAAAGAAGUGGGGAAAGGUGAACAGCCUUUCUCCUUGACGGUACCACCGAAGGAAGCACCGGCUAACUCCGUGCCAGCAGCCGCGGUAAUACGGAGGGUGCGAGCGUUGUUCGGAAUCAUUGGGCGUAAAGAGCGUGUAGGCGGCUUGGCAAGUCAGAUGUGAAAUCCCUGGGCUCAACCCAGGAAGUGCAUUUGAAACUGCCCUGCUGGAGUAUGGGAGAGGGAAGUGGAAUUCCUGGUGUAGAGGUGAAAUUCGUAGAUAUCAGGAGGAACACCCGUGGCGAAGGCGACUUCCUGGCCCAAUACUGACGCUGAGACGCGAGAGCGUGGGGAGCAAACAGGAUUAGAUACCCUGGUAGUCCACGCCGUAAACGAUGUUCACUAGGUGUUGGGGGUAUUGACCCCCUCAGUGCCGAAGCUAACGCA
This 653-nucleotide ribosomal RNA is filed under the name uncultured bacterium. Its description in RNAcentral is "bacterial SSU rRNA". It matches the Rfam family "Bacterial small subunit ribosomal RNA", at positions 216 to 859 of the family's 1533-position model. The record is from RNAcentral.